This 2418-nucleotide long non-coding RNA is filed under the name Panax ginseng (ginseng). Its description in RNAcentral is "long non-coding RNA (PGIN_LNC012884)". The record is from RNAcentral. Lineage: Eukaryota; Viridiplantae; Streptophyta; Magnoliopsida; Apiales; Araliaceae.
UCUGGUUAUAGAUCUUGAAGUUGCUGUCGAUCUUUUAUGUUCUUCUCCGAUCUGCAGUUCAUCACUUUCUGGUUAUAGAUCUUGCAGUUGCAGUAAGUUUCUUCGAUCUGUUCUUCUCCGAUUUCAGAGUUGCUGUCGAUCUUUUAUGUUUUGUUCAGUUGCUUGAAUUUAGGGAGAGAUAAACGUGUAGGGAGAGAUAAAGAUCUGUAAUUUUAGCAACGUAAUAUUAUGUUGCUUUAUUUUUGUAAUUAUGUUAUUUGUAUUUUAUUUUUAUAAAUACUUUUUAAUUAUUGUAUAUUAGUAUUAAGGACCCUUAAAAUUAAUUAGUACUAGUAGUUUAUAUAGUAGUAUUCAUUUAGGAGGAUUCUAAAGGGUCUUCGCUUAAAAGCUACUGUGAUCCACUUUCAAUUACUUGGUGCCUAAAACAAAACAAGCAGGCAUUUAUAUACUCCUCCGUUUCAAAAAUAUCAAUUUAAAUUAUUUUUAUUUUUGAUAUAAUUUAUUAUUUAUUAGAAUAAAUAAAUCAGUAUUAUUUUGAGGGUUUAUAAUUUUUAUGAUUGAAUUAUCUAAAAUUAAAUUAUAUUAAUAUUUAAUAUCCUAUAUUUUAGAACAAAAAAAUAUAUAUUUAGUAUUUCUAUAUGUAGUACCUCGAUCACGUGACAUUCAUUGCUGGGCUGUCAUGCAUCAAAAUCAAAACCAUUUGAGCAGUAGUCCAAGCUACAUAUUCAAUUAUUAUUAUUAUAAUUAUCACUAUUUAACAUUUUUUUUUUAAUAUGGAAUGAAAAUAUGUUAAAUGAACUGUCUUUGUGGGAUAUGGCGGAGUAUUAAAUUUGAGAUGAUAUAAGUUUGGGUGGUGUAGUGGGUGGGGUUCACAAAGUUGAUCAUCAGUUCCUUUCAAGGUGGCUGGCUUGCAAUUAAGGUCCAAAGGGCAGCCAUGGCUCUAGCAACUGUUGAGGCCUCAUGAGUCAUGGCUGGCUACUUCUCUCUCCUUAAUUCCUUCCCCCACAUGCAUAGCAUAGAUGAUCUCUUCUCUCUCGAUCUCAUGCAUAUACAUAAAGAGAGACCCAGCUGUGAUCAUAUAUACCUAUCUAUCUAGCCAGUAGCCACCAAUGGUGAUGAGGUCUUAUUCAUUUUCCAUGCACAAACAAAUUGUUCCAUUAAUCUUGCCACCAGUACACAUGAUGAUCACCUUCUUCAUCGUGCUAGUCUCCAUCUUCUCCAUCAUAGCAUUUCUAUGUGGCUCCCACAAUUUCCCAGGAUCCCAAAGGCGAAAGGAAGAGAGAACGGCGAGAUUGGGAGGUGGAGGUGGAGGUGAUCAAACAAAAUUACAGAGCAGCAUAGGCACUAAAGCUCUACAAAUGGUCAAGAUGCUUUCUUGGAGGAAAAUGCAACGUCAUGAUCAAGAAUGCAGCAGCAGCAGCAGCAGCGGAGAUGAUGAAGAAGCUGUGUGGAAGAGGACGAUCAUUAUGGGGGAACGGUGUCGCCCAUUGGAAUUUUCUGGCAAAAUUUUAUAUGAUUCUCAUGGAAAUCCUUUGCAUGAUUCUCUAAUUCGUCCCACUCAUGGAAAUUCUACUGGUAAAUAGUAAACCUGCUUGUUAAUUCUUGAGCGGAUAAUUGACUGUUUGGUUUAUUAGGUGAGUUGAUUAGGUUUAAUGUUUUUAUGUAAAGUUUGGUUUUGUGACUUGACCACCUCUUUAUCGAUUGCUGAAUCACCGUUUCAAGUUUUACGGAAUUGUUGAGAAUAAUAGUUUAUGAUCCAAUAUUCAAAAUUACCUUCUUUUUUCCCCUUAUUUAUUUAUUAUUAUUUCUAGUGCGAAUGAAAUGAAGUUCUUAUCAAUUAAUUUAUUAUGAAAAGAAGAAUCCAAAGCUCCCAAAUUCUUCUAGUAUACGGUUCAACAAAAAAAUAUUUUAGUCUGAAAAAGUAUUUAAAAAAUUUCAGGGCCUGCCUAAACCCAAACCCCUAGGACCACAGCAACAGUGGGUGAGACCUAUCUCCCAUCACCAGCACCUAUAUGAUGAUCUUGACAUUAUUGGUUGGGUGCCCACUCGUAAUUUUAGGAAACGCUAGCUUAAAUUGGGAGAUCAAAAGAACUGAACAUGGAUUGUCAGACACAAACAUAAAAAUACAAUUUUGGAGUUGCACUUGUGUACAAAUUUAUAGGUGGAAAAAAAAAACAAUGAAAGUAAAACCAUAUACCUGAUGUUCUGUGAAGCUUUAUCUAAUGCCAUUGCCACCAACUCCCUGAUUCCACUGAACUACUUGUUGAUGCAACAAAGUUGUGUCUGUAUCUCCUUCCUUUGCCGGCAACUCCUCUAUCUCUCCGCAAUUUUGCUUAAAAAGAUGAAUGAUUUUCUCAGCCACCUCUGCUUCAUCUUUGCUUUCUUCAACCAAUUUAUCCAAUUUGGCCUUUGGCAAUC